GAUGGUGCUUGCACUAUCACUUAGCGGCGGACGGGUGAGUAAUGCUUAGGAAUCUGCCUAUUAGUGGGGGACAACAUCUCGAAAGGGAUGCUAAUACCGCAUACGUCCUACGGGAGAAAGCAGGGGAUCACUUGUGACCUUGCGCUGAUAGAUGAGCCUAAGUCGGAUUAGCUAGUUGGUGGGGUAAGGGCCUACCAAGGCGACGAUCUGUAGCGGGUCUGAGAGGAUGAUCCGCCACACUGGGACUGAGACACGGCCCAGACUCCUACGGGAGGCAGCAGUGGGGGAUAUUGGACAAUGGGGGGAACCCUGAUCCAGCCAUGCCGCGUGUGUGAAGAAGGCCUUAUGGUUGUAAAGCACUUUAAGCGAGGAGGAGGCUCUUUUAGUUAAUACCCAAGAUGAGUGGACGUUACUCGCAGAAUAAGCACCGGCUAACUCUGUGCCAGCAGCCGCGGUAAUACAGAGGGUGCAAGCGUUAAUCGGAUUUACUGGGCGUAAAGCGCGCGUAGGCGGCCAAUUAAGUCAAAUGUGAAAUCCCCGAGCUUAACUUGGGAAUUGCAUUCGAUACUGGUUGGCUAGAGUGUGGGAGAGGAUGGUAGAAUUCCAGGUGUAGCGGUGAAAUGCGUAGAGAUCUGGAGGAAUACCGAUGGCGAAGGCAGCCAUCUGGCCUAACACUGACGCUGAGGUGCGAAAGCAUGGGGAGCAAACAGGAUUAGAUACCCUGGUAGUCCAUGCCGUAAACGAUGUCUACUAGCCGUUGGGGCCUUUGAGGCUUAGUGGCGCAGCUAACGCGAUAAGUAGACCGCCUGGGGAGUACGGUCGCAAGACUAAAACUCAAAUGAAUUGACGGGGGCCCGCACAAGCGGUGGAGCAUGUGGUUUAAUUCGAUGCAACGCGAAGAACCUUACCUGGCUUUGACAUAGU
Molecule: ribosomal RNA, 924 nt
Filed under: uncultured bacterium
Lineage: Bacteria
Description: bacterial SSU rRNA
Rfam family: Bacterial small subunit ribosomal RNA
Source: RNAcentral